RNAcentral lists this ribosomal RNA (809 nucleotides) under uncultured Pseudomonadota bacterium. RNAcentral describes it as "bacterial SSU rRNA". It matches the Rfam family "Bacterial small subunit ribosomal RNA", at positions 74 to 902 of the family's 1533-position model. The record is from RNAcentral. Lineage: Bacteria; Pseudomonadati; Pseudomonadota.
UUAUUAUUAAAUAAGUUAGUGGCGUAAGGGUGCGAAGUGUAGUUGUUUGCUAUCUGUAAAUUUGGGAUAAAAAGCCAAGAUAUUGAAGUAUAACUUUAUAUUUUUAAAAAUUGAUUUGUUUCAGAUGUACGGCUAUCAGAUUAUGAAAAACGGUAGUAGGUGGGUUAAUGCUCACAUAGCCUGCGAUCUGCGGCUGAUUUUGAAGAAUGCACAGCCACAGCGAAAUUGAGAUACGGGUCGAACCUAUAUAGGGCAGCAGUUUGGAAUUUUGGGCAAUGAGUGAAAACUUGACCCAGCGAGAAUUUUAAUCUAGGAAGACAUUAGAUUGGACUUUUUAAUUUGUUGCAAAGAACAAUUGGAUCUUUUGUAGUGACAAGUACUUGCUAAGUCUGUGCCAGCAGCCGCGGCAAGACAGACAGUACAAGCGUUAUUCGGAUUGGCUGGGCGUAAAGCGUUUUAAGAUGGUUACUAAAACUGUAAAAAGAAAAUCUGGUAUUACUUCAGGAUAUUUUACAAAGAUUGUUUAACUAAGAGUUGUUGAGAGGUUUAAAGAAUUUUAGCGAGUAUGGGUUAAAAUCCGAACAAUACGAGAAGGAAUACCUUAUGUGAAAACAUUUUUCUUGCUUCAACUGACGUUCAUAAAAACGAGUGCUCGGGUAUAAAGCAGGGAUAGAUAUCCUGGUAAUUCCGCGCUGUAAACGAUGAAUAUUAGGGAGCAAAGUGUGGUAUAUUUUUAAUAUUUAUAUCGAUCCCAAAAGCUAACGCAUUAAAUAUUCCGCCGGGGUACUACGAUCGCAAGGCUGAAACUC